AUGGCUCAGCGGUUAAGAGCACUGACUGCUCUUCCAGAGGACCUGGGUUCAAUUCCCAGU
RNAcentral lists this transfer RNA (60 nucleotides) under Neotoma lepida (desert woodrat). It matches the Rfam family "tRNA", at positions 7 to 64 of the family's 71-position model. From Rfam's summary of the family: Transfer RNA (tRNA) molecules are approximately 80 nucleotides in length. Their secondary structure includes four short double-helical elements and three loops (D, anti-codon, and T loops). Lineage: Eukaryota; Metazoa; Chordata; Mammalia; Rodentia; Cricetidae. The record is from Rfam by way of RNAcentral.